RNAcentral lists this unclassified non-coding RNA (183 nucleotides) under Tremella sp. Its description in RNAcentral is "partial contains small subunit ribosomal RNA, internal transcribed spacer 1, and 5.8S ribosomal RNA". The stretch from base 1 to 46 matches the Rfam family "Eukaryotic small subunit ribosomal RNA", at positions 1786 to 1831 of the family's 1831-position model. Lineage: Eukaryota; Fungi; Basidiomycota; Tremellomycetes; Tremellales; Tremellaceae. The record is from RNAcentral.
AAGUCGUAACAAGGUUUCCGUAGGUGAACCUGCGGAAGGAUCAUUAAUGAUUGGUCAAAAGGCCUUAUCUCAUCCUUCAUACCUGUGAACCGUUGGCCCUCGGGCCUCUCUACAAAACACUGUGUAAUGAACGUAUAUCAUAUGAACAAAACAAAACUUUUAACGACGGAUCUCUUGGCUCUC